CUCGACUAAGAAAAAAUAAUGAACAAUUUAUCAAUAGUCUUCAAUGGGAAAUAAUAACAGGUUAAAUGUAAUUUCCUGUUUUGUGCCUUACAAAUAGAGCCCCAUAGUGGAUGCGUAAUAAUGCCCAUGAAACCCUUCGGUCAAACACCGAAAUGGUUCCAAUCAUAAAUUCAUUUUCCCCACAGGGGAUUUUAGAACCAUUUUAAAACAAGGUCGGUGGUUCAUGUAGUCAGUAGCAUGAGAACCCCUUUAAAACAAGGUCUGUGUUUCAUGUAGUCAGUAGCAUGAGAACCCCUUUAAAACAAGGUCUGUGUUUCAUGUAGUCAGUAGCAUGAGAACCCAUUUAAAACAAGGUCUGUGUUUCAUGUAGUCAGUAGCAUGAGAACCCAUUUAAAACAAGGUCUGUGUUUCAUGUAGUCAGUAGCAUGAGAACCCAUUUAAAACAAGGUCUGUGUUUAAAAACAGUUUCUAUGCAUGAUAAAACAGGUCAGUCUGGCAUUCUCUGGAUGUAUGGUGCUUUCAAGACUACUGGGAACUUGUUUUCCCAGUCUGAGAUCGUUUUCUUUCCGAGUUCCCACUUGUCUUGAACUCAUGAAGUCUGAGAUUUCCCAGUUUUUCCGAGUUCCCACUUGUCUUGAACUCAUGAAGUCUGAGAUUUCCCAGUUUUUCCGAGUUUCCAGUUGUUCUGAACGCGGCAGAAGUCAUGCUGGAUUGUUUUACAUUUAGUUUAUUAAUUUGACCAUUUAAAAAAACAAGCACACAUAAAACUUGGAAAAGCCAUACAUGCAAAUAACUAAAAUCAUCAAGGAUAACACACAAUCAAGUCUGGAACUUUCUAUUGUGGUCCUCUUGAAACAACACUUCUAGGCAAGAUACAACAUGGUUGAACACAGUAUGAAAAUAAUCUAACAAAGAAGAACAUCAGUGCAGUUACAUCCUAGGGGUCAUUCAGAUGGGCACAGAAGACAUCUUCCCUGACAUUAGUUAUCUUUGUUUUCUUUAUUAUGUUGGUUAGGUCAGGGUUUGACAAGGGUGGUUGGUUUAGUUUUUUGUAUUGUCUAGGUGUUUUUGUCCUGUCUAGGGUUUUUGU
Molecule: long non-coding RNA, 1090 nt
Organism: Oncorhynchus tshawytscha (Chinook salmon)
Lineage: Eukaryota; Metazoa; Chordata; Actinopteri; Salmoniformes; Salmonidae
Source: Ensembl